UUGAUCUACCGGGCUCUUCCUUGAGGCUGGUGGCUUACAAAUAGAGGGUGAAUUAAGAGAGUGGCAGGCUAGAAAGAAGUGAGCCCAAACGAGAGAGACAUGAUGAGGAGCAACAAGAUGGUUUUGGCACUAAUUACUGUGUCAAUUUGCUUCUUUGCUGCCCAUUCCUUCGACUCAUUGGAGCUUGCUUCCACAUUAAUCAGUGACGGUUUUGAAGGAAAAAGCAACGGCCGGCCAUGGCCAUGCUGCAAUAACUGCGGCAUAUGCACCAAAUCUAUUCCGCCUCAGUGCACAUGCAAUGAUUUGGUGCGGUCUUGCCAUCCUGAGUGCAAAAAUUGCGUCCAGAUGCCGUAUCGUAUCUUCCCUCCCCUCUACCAAUGCAAGGACCUCAUCGUCAACUACUGUGAGCACAAGUGCCAUUCUAAGUAAGCUCAUGGCUGCUUGCAGCAGCAUCCACAGAGACCGUGCAUGUAGCUAAGAAACUGCUCUCUGUUUAUCUGCAUGCCUUGUAUCCCCUAUGCUUUCGAUCAUCGAGUCAUGGUAUGGUGCUUCAUCUCUUUGCAUCAGAUGCGUCGUCAUCAAAUGUAUUGAGGUGCCAUGUAUAAUAAACUUGCAUAAUAAAGUCUUUGUGGUGGUUUGAUGAA
Phoenix dactylifera (date palm) is the source of this 644-nucleotide non-coding RNA. The record is from RefSeq and is a predicted model, not a curated record. NCBI's taxonomy places the organism in Eukaryota, Viridiplantae, Streptophyta, Magnoliopsida, Arecales, Arecaceae.